UCAACGGUACUUUUCAGUACCACCAAAGUUUCGAACAAAGAGCAUU
This is a non-coding RNA of Danio rerio (zebrafish), 46 nucleotides long. Lineage: Eukaryota; Metazoa; Chordata; Actinopteri; Cypriniformes; Danionidae. The record is from Rfam.